RNAcentral lists this transfer RNA (60 nucleotides) under Sebastes owstoni. RNAcentral describes it as "partial tRNA-Thr". The record is from RNAcentral. Lineage: Eukaryota; Metazoa; Chordata; Actinopteri; Perciformes; Sebastidae.
CAGCAUCAGAGCCCCGGUCUUGUAAACCAGAUGUCGGAGGUUAGAGUCCUCCCUACUGCU